GAGAAUGUGUGGCACCAGAGAAGCCUCAUGGGCACAGAGCUGCAGGUGCUGGCAUGGAAGGGGUGACAUGGAAAUAUGGGCAAGACACCAACAGCUUCUGCCUCAACUGGUGAACAGCUCCUAAAUUCAUGCCUUCCUGGUCACAGCUUCCACGUUUCCUUGACCAAAGAUCUGUCUGUCCAUUUCUGAUGGAGGGGAGUUGAAGUCUUUAACUAUGACAGUGGAUUCAUCUAUUUCUCCUUGCAGUUCUGUCAGUUUCUGCCUCACAUCGUUUGACUCUCUGUUGUCAGGAUGACCUUGGGCUUAUUUGGCUAAGAGAAUGCAGCAGACAAGACAGCGUGCCAGUUCCAAGCCUAGGCCUCAUGAGGCCUUGAAUCCUUCUCCUUUUCUCUCUUGGGUCCUUAUCCGCCACCACGUGAACAAGCUGAGGCCAACCUGUUGGUUGGAGAAAGAGAGACCACACUGAAGAGAGUUGAGCUGUCUUCUGAGGGCAUCCUGUACCAACCAGACCCAGCUAACCCAGCACGAACUGCUGACAACGACUGAGGCCAGAGGAAAUCAAAACUGCCUACCUGAGUCCAGACCACCUGCCAGUCUGAAGAACUGUGAGCCAAGUCAUUGUUUGAACAGCGAAAGUUAUCAGAUACACUUGUGCAGAAGCUAUACUAUGGGUGGCCUCGACCUGCUUCUGAACUGCUGGAAGUCCACCAGGAACUUGCCUUUUGCUCUCUGCAUGGCUCUGUGCUUCUAUUCCAUUUUUGAUCCAAGGAGAAGUACAGAAGAGUACAUAAAAUAUAUGUACAAAUUUUAAAAGAAUACUAAAAUGAGUGCUCAUUGUGACCACCACUAGCUAUGUCUUUUACAUUUUUGUCUUUGUAUUUUUGUUCUCUUGUUGUCAUGUGCUUGGAGUAGUGGGGCUUCCAGCAAUACCAUCUGAUAGAAUGCACCUGUCCAUUCUAACUGCAGGUGGUGCUCUAGAGACCUCUGUGAGUUUCAGUGCCAAACCCCUGAGUCCUAGGAUACCCUGAUCUCUUGCUGGUAGUGGCUUUGUUAGCAGCCCCAGUGCUUUAUAAUUAUUUAGCCCCAGUGUCUCCCUAAUAAAUACAUAUAUUGAAAACUAAAUAUGCAUAAUUGUAAAAUUGAA
This is a long non-coding RNA of Lynx canadensis (Canada lynx), 1144 nucleotides long. RefSeq lists it as uncharacterized. The transcript is spliced from 4 exons. Lineage: Eukaryota; Metazoa; Chordata; Mammalia; Carnivora; Felidae. The record is from RefSeq and is a predicted model, not a curated record.